Molecule: transfer RNA, 39 nt
Filed under: Succineidae gen. n. sp. z RM-2021
Lineage: Eukaryota; Metazoa; Mollusca; Gastropoda; Stylommatophora; Succineidae
Description: partial tRNA-Lys
Source: RNAcentral
UUUUAAUUUGAGUAUGAUAUCUUUAUUUGUCUUUGCGAU